Molecule: ribosomal RNA, 253 nt
Filed under: uncultured bacterium
Lineage: Bacteria
Description: partial 16S ribosomal RNA
Rfam family: Bacterial small subunit ribosomal RNA
Source: RNAcentral
UACAGAGGGUGCAAGCGUUAAUCGGAGUUAUUGGGCGUAAAGCGCACGUAGGCGGCUUGGCAAGUCGGAUGUGAAAUCCCUCGGCUCAACCAAGGAAGUGCAUCCGAAACUGCUGAGCUUGAGUACUUAAGAGGAUCGCGGAAUUCCAGGUGUAGCGGUGGAAUGCGUAGAGAUCUGGAAGAACACCGGUGGCGAAGGCGGUGGUCUGGGCCAUUACUGACGCUGAGGAGCGAAAGCCAGGGGAGCGAACGGG